Molecule: ribosomal RNA, 253 nt
Filed under: uncultured bacterium
Lineage: Bacteria
Description: partial 16S ribosomal RNA
Rfam family: Bacterial small subunit ribosomal RNA
Source: RNAcentral
GACGAAGGGGGCUAGCGUUGUUCGGAAUUAUUGGGCGUAAAGGGCUCGUAGGCGGUCUGUUGCGUCGGGAGUGAAAACUUACAGCUUAACUGUGAGCGUGCUUUCGAUACGGGCAGACUUGAGGCAUUCAGGGGAGAACGGAAUUCCUGGUGUAGCGGUGAAAUGCGCAGAUAUCGGGAAGAACACCCGUGGCGAAGGCGGCUCUCUGGGACGGUACUGACGCUGAGGCGCGAAAGCGUGGGGAGCAAACAGG